RNAcentral lists this transfer RNA (75 nucleotides) under Methylibium petroleiphilum PM1. The record is from Rfam by way of RNAcentral. Lineage: Bacteria; Pseudomonadati; Pseudomonadota; Betaproteobacteria; Burkholderiales; Sphaerotilaceae.
CGGCGUGUAGGAAAGCCAGGUCAAUCCGCCUGCUUCGGGAGCAGGAGAACGCGGGAUCGAAGCCCGCCACGCCGA